RNAcentral lists this small nuclear RNA (100 nucleotides) under Sciurus vulgaris (Eurasian red squirrel). Lineage: Eukaryota; Metazoa; Chordata; Mammalia; Rodentia; Sciuridae. The record is from RNAcentral.
AUUCUUCAGCAGCACAUAUUCUAAAAUUGGAGUGGUGCAGAGAGAAGCAUGGCCCCUGCACAAGGGUGACACAGAAAUUCGUGAAGCAUUCCAUACUCAU